Molecule: ribosomal RNA, 253 nt
Filed under: uncultured bacterium
Lineage: Bacteria
Description: partial 16S ribosomal RNA
Rfam family: Bacterial small subunit ribosomal RNA
Source: RNAcentral
UACAGUGGGGGCAAGCGUUGUUCGGAAUUACUGGGCGUAAAGGGCGCGUAGGCGGCCUUCUAAGUCGAACGUGAAAUCCCUGGGCUCAACCCAGGAACUGCGUCCGAUACUGGAAGGCUUGAAUCCGGGAGAGGGAUGCGGAAUUCCAGGUGUAGCGGUGAAAUGCGUAGAUAUCUGGAGGAACACCGGUGGCGAAGGCGGCAUCCUGGACCGGUAUUGACGCUGAGGCGCGAAAGCCAGGGGAGCAAACGGG